UGUGGAUUUAUUCAUUUUUUAUUGCGGAAGUUGUAGAAAUUUCUAAGAUGAUGAGAUUAAGAGUUUUGUCGGAGAAGAUUCCGUUUAAUUUCAUCGAGAAUUGCGUUGAGAAUUAAUUUUUUUCAUUCAAAGGUCCAAUGCAGUUAUAUUACUCGUUAUAUGACGAGGAAGGUAACGUUUGUUGGAAAUCAAAUUUCAAUUCCUGAUGGAAUCCCAUUCAGACACCAUAAGCCGACGUAUCAAUAUAUUUCAAGGUCAAAUAUAUCGAAUAUUUCUCAAUAGUUAUUCUCCAAUUUCAUCCAUCCUCACUCAUGAGUCCCAACCCAAAGGUCAAAGGCCUGAGAGGUUAUAUUUUAAAUGCCCAUUGAGUCCCGGAGUCACCACUUAUUCGAUUACAUCUUUUACAAUUGAUAUUAAUCCCGAGAACUCAUACAAAAUUAAAUUCACACAAAAAUUCACGAGUUCUAAUUAAAAAGCAUUAGCAGUAUUAGCAUAUUAUCUCGCAGACUAUAAUUACAGAGUAACACGCGCCACGGGUCCCACACACUCGUCCAGCCUUUUCUAUAAUGCAGUAUUCAUCCAUCCGUCGAACUACUCUCGCGGCUCCGUCGAUGUGGGAAAUAUGCGAUUAAACAUCGCUCGGAAUUAAUUAAUUCCAUCGUACUGUUUCAAAUGGGGCUUUUCCCAGCCAUGCAUACCUGGGAUAAAAGUAAAUUAUAUCUGGUAAAUUGACGUUUUGCGGCGGAGCCAGAGCUUUUGACCUAUCCAUCACACUCGACCAUGAUUGGAUGACCCAUUGAUUGUUCAUCCACAUGGAAAACCCGAGGUUUAUUAUUAUUAAAUGUGAAUUGAUGGUGGAUAACACGUGCUGAGGCCAUUCUGCGGGAUUUUCGGAGGUCUAAUUCACUGGCUGAUGUUUCCGGUUUAGGGGAGAAAUAUCGAAUCAACAAACUGCAGAGAGGACAUUUCGACGAAAUGAGCAAUGAAACGCCAACCUCCCUCCUCACCCCCUCCCCGCAAUUUGGUGAUUGUGUUUCGCAUAAUGGCCGUUUCAACGCGAAUGACCCCAACGAGCUAUAUCGAAUUCGCAGACGGUGUCCACGAGGGCAUUAUCACGACGUCAGCGAGAAGUGUAUUCCAGUGUACACUCCUAAACUAAUCUCAACCAGUUUGGCCAGGCAAAAUGCGCAACUAUAAUCGUUGACCGGUGUCGUCGUGUUAAUCAAGUUGGUAAAAUGCAUGGUGGUGAAGCCCCUUCGGUGCAGUUGCGCACUGUAAUUUUACCGGGAACAAUGGGUGGGGAUAAAAUUUGACAGUUUGCCGGAAUGACAUUGUGUGAGUACGUGAAUACGUAGGUAAAUACGUGGCUGGAAAUAUGGAGUGAAAAAAAAUGUGGAACUAGCAAAACUGGUUAAUUUUGCUAGUCAUCUCCAUGCUCAUCAAUGUUUAAAUGCACUGCUGAAAAAAUUUUUCUGAAUUGUUCAUAAUAAAAACAUUUUGUGUGAGCGAAGGAUUGCUAAAAAAUACGAAAUUUUCUGCUUGAAAAUUGACGAGUAAUUUUGUAGGAGAAAUGUAUCGAGGGAAUCAUCUCAAUUUGCAAUAUUGAUGGCUUCCACAUGGAAAAUAAGAACGUUUCGAAGAUCUUACUUUCAAGGUAAUUAUAUCCAAAUUAACAGUGAGACUAAAAAAUGAAGAAAUUCCAUCUAUCUAUAUGAAAUAUACGACAAGUUCAUAAUAAUGACGCAGCAGCGAAU
Molecule: long non-coding RNA, 1754 nt
Organism: Diachasmimorpha longicaudata
Lineage: Eukaryota; Metazoa; Arthropoda; Insecta; Hymenoptera; Braconidae
Exons: 3
Source: RefSeq, a predicted model, not a curated record